Molecule: ribosomal RNA, 700 nt
Filed under: uncultured bacterium
Lineage: Bacteria
Description: bacterial SSU rRNA
Rfam family: Bacterial small subunit ribosomal RNA
Source: RNAcentral
UCAGGCCUAACACAUGCAAGUCGAGCGCGCCCUUCGGGGUGAGCGGCGGACGGGUUAGUAACGCGUGGGAAUAUGCCCAAAGGUACGGAAUAGCCUCUGGAAACGGAGAGUAAUACCGUAUGUGCCCUUCGGGGGAAAGAUUUAUCGCCUUUGGAUUAGCCCGCGUUAGAUUAGGUAGUUGGUGGGGUAAUGGCCUACCAAGCCUACGAUCUAUAGCUGGUUUUAGAGGAUGAUCAGCAACACUGGGACUGAGACACGGCCCAGACUCCUACGGGAGGCAGCAGUGGGGAAUCUUGGACAAUGGGGGCAACCCUGAUCCAGCCAUGCCGCGUGAGUGAUGAAGGCCUUAGGGUCGUAAAGCUCUUUCGCCUGUGAAGAUAAUGACGGUAGCAGGUAAAGAAACCCCGGCUAACUCCGUGCCAGCAGCCGCGGUAAUACGGAGGGGGUUAGCGUUGUUCGGAAUUACUGGGCGUAAAGCGCACGUAGGCGGAUCGGAAAGUUGGGGGUGAAAUCCCGGGGCUCAACCCCGGAACUGCCUCCAAAACUAUCGGUCUAGAGUUCGAGAGAGGUGAGUGGAAUUCCGAGUGUAGAGGUGAAAUUCGUAGAUAUUCGGAGGAACACCAGUGGCGAAGGCGGCUCACUGGCUCGAUACUGACGCUGAGGUGCGAAAGUGUGGGGAGCAAACAGGAUUAGAUACCCU